Nycticebus coucang (slow loris) is the source of this 6493-nucleotide long non-coding RNA. RefSeq lists it as uncharacterized. The record is from RefSeq and is a predicted model, not a curated record. The transcript has 3 exons. NCBI's taxonomy places the organism in Eukaryota, Metazoa, Chordata, Mammalia, Primates, Lorisidae.
AACUCCUGGGCUUAAGCGAUUCUCUUGCCUCAGCCUCCCGAGUAGCUGGGACUACAGGCGCCCGCCACAGCGCCCGGCUAUUUUUUUGUUACAGUUUGGCCGGGACCGGGUUUGAACCUGCCACCCUCGGUAUAUGGGGCCCGCGCCUUACCGACUGAGCCACAGGCGCCGCCCUAUCCGUGUUUUUCAUACACACAAAAAUGUUUCUUGAGCUCCAGAACCGCGAGUAUCUCUGUCACAACCCGAGCAGUCACGUAUCCCCCAGCAAGCCUCCUGCCGCCGGACCUUUACAAAUCACAAGCCUACUUCGAGAAGUCCUGAGACAGGGCCCUCUCAGAAGGUUGGAGGUUUGUGUGGAGUUUGUUCCUGCGAUAGAGCACCUGUGCGAGAAAAGCAACCGCUGGUUUCCAUCCCCAUCAAGGUCUCCUAACCAGCUCAGCGUGCGCCUCCUGCUGUCUCACAGAACUGUCAGUGUACGCCGAGGCCUACGCGCGGGUAAUCCAGCCCAGUGCCGCGAGCAGCCCCCGGGCUCCAGCCCCUCCCUCUCAUGAAUUAUACAUAAGGAGGGGGGGCUACUUACCUGAGGCUCCUGCAGACCAGAGCGGCAGGCCCAGUGUCCCACUUGUCUUGAUCGGGAUCUUGCUUUCAGGAUGUUGUCUGAAGGAAUUUGGAUUACUGAGUUACUUGGUGGCUUGCCUUCCCAGUUAUAAGAGAUUUCCAGGCUUGCCAAGAGAAUGUCUUGUUCUCAGUAAUUCCUCAGAUGAGUCAUGAUACUGUUGACUGUUGGAAGACAUGCAGGAUCUUAUUCUGUUGCCCAGGCUGGAGUGCAGUGGCAUCAUCAUAGCUCACUGUAGCCUCAAACUCCUUGGCUCAAGUAAUCUCCUGCUUCAGCCUCCUGAGUAGCUGGGACUACAUGCACAUGCCAUUACUCCCAGGUAAGUUUUCUAUUUUUAGUAGAGACGGGGUCUCCUUCUUGCUCAAGCUGGUCUCAACCUCCUGACCUCAACUGAUCCUCUCACCUUGGCUUCUCAGAGUGGUGGGAUUAUAGGCAUGAGCCACUAUGCCCAGACUGAAAGUUACUGUUUAAUCUCCAACCAUACAUUUUUAUCCCAGGCUAUAGGAAAGAGUAAAAGCACAAUGUACUUCUCACCACAUCCAUAUUCCAUUGGCCAGAACAACGAAUAUCACACAUACUGUAGCUGGCAGCAGACAUGUCUGGGUUAACAGACAAUUUUUAGGUGGAUUACCAUGAACCUGAUCAUACCUUGGGAGUUCUGUUAUUAAAGGAAGAAUUAAAUGAAUUCUGCUGAACAACUAACAACACAUUACUUGGUUCAUCCAGUGAAGCAAGAUUAUCAUUUUCAAUAUCAAGAAAUAUUGAAAAUAUUUGAAAAUAUUGAGAAAUAUCAAGGCUCAGAGAUUUAAAGAAACUUUCCCAAUAUUACAUAGCUACUAAAGGCUAAGUUAGGGUUCAGCCCCAUAUGGUCUGUGCACUUCACAAUUUUAACCAGUUUUAUCUACAUGCAGAAGACUGAAACUGAACCUUCACCUCUCACUAUUGACAAAAAUUGAUUCUCAUUGGAUAAAAGAUUUAAAUUUAAGACACAAAACAAUAAAAAUCCUAGAAGAGAGUGUGGGAGGAAACACUUGAAGAUAAUAGCCUGGGAAAAAACUUUUAUGGGGAUGACACCCCUAGCAAUUGCAGCAAUACCAAAAAUAGAUAACUAGGAUGUGAUCAAGCUAAAAACCUUUUGACAGCUAAGAACACCACAAACAGAGCAAACAGCCCUCAGAAUGGGAGACGAUUUUUGCAUGUUAUGAAUCUGACAAAGGCCUGAUAACUAGAAUCUACAGAGAAUUCAAACAAUAAGAAAAGUGCAAACAACCAUCUCUAUAAGUAGGCAAGAGAUUUAAGCAGAAAUCUCUGAGGAUGACAGAUGAAUGUCCAACAAGCACAUGAAAAAAUGCUCAUCGUCUUUAAUCAUCAGAGAAAUGCAAAUCAAAACCACUCUAAGAUAUCACCUAACCCCCGCAAGAUGAGCCCACAUCACAAAGUCCCAAAAUACCAGAUGGGACUGGUGUUGGAGAGAAAGGAACACUUCUUUUUUUUUUUUUUUUUUGAGAUCAGUCAACCCCAAAUAGGGCAAGGGCACGUUUACUAUAAAUGCAUAGUCAGCAGUAAUAGGGCGAGUAGGCAAGUGGUUCAUGGAAGAGGCGCCACCCACUGGCAGGGGUGAGAGUGCAGGCAAGCAAAGGGCCUAAGUGGACCCCAGCCACCCAUGGCAGAGGUCAGCCUGGCUGCACCAAGGAGCAGGGACGGAGAGGCCAUGAGGAGUCUCCCACUAUAAUGAGACAUCCUGCUUUCUUCAGAUAGUAAUUCACUUAUUUCCCACAACAGCAUCAUGAAGUUGAUAAUAAUUAAUAACCUCAUUUUAAAAUGAGCAGAGAAGGAGAACCUCUAGCCAAAGAUCGCCAGAAAGGAAGCAGCAGUGCUAAUUCUGAUUCUGGCUGACUCCAGCUGCUCCCAGCCUGAAGCCCAGCGAGCAGCCUCACAGCAGACCUUCUCCCACCAUCGCAGGAGUGAAUCUACUUCCUUGCAGGGUGACAGCCCAACAGGAAUGCCAGGGCACCCAGGGCGAGCAGGAGGUACCAGCCAAUGGGACACUAGUCAGGGACUGAAUCAGCUGGAACCUCUGGAGAGCAGGGACACUUUUCUUUUUUCUUUUCAGAGAGCAGGGACAGUUGAAACAGUCAGAUGUUAGAAUAACCGUGCCUUACUACUAGCUGUGAGCUGGAGUUCACAGUCUUCUCUCCCAGAGGCUCAGAAUUCUAGGCGUCAUCUCUCAGGGCGUCCGGUCACCAGGAUUUUAGGCAUUCUCCUUGGGGCCACAUACGCUGAAGGCAGCUGUGCCAUAGGCUGGCCUUGUUGGAGCCUGGCUUCUUGCUGUUCCAGACAGUUUCUGGGGGUGGCCCCCUGAGUGCCAGCAGACUACAGUCUGGUUCCCUGUGCACAGAUAUCGAGCCAGUAUAGGCAGGAAAAGGCUCAAACUAUGGGAGAGUUGCCUGGUAGGUUCCUGUGCCUCCAGCAGUGGCUGAGUAAGGUAGAGCACAAAACCAGUAGCAUCCACACUGCUUGGCCUCUGCCACCAUUCCCUCAUGUUCCUUUGCCUCCAGCUGCUCCAGAGGGAUGAGGGCUGGAGUUUUCCAGGAUCCAGGGUUCCUCCCUCUUUCCACCCACACACUCGCCCUUGCCACUGCAGCCUUGCUGCUCACCACCUAUGAAGUUUCCCCCUGGCCCUGACCCCUCCCUGAAGGCUCAGCUCCACACACCUGAAACUGCUUUCAUGAUCUUCAUCUCCUCUCCCCCAAAGCACCUGGUCUUCCUUCACCUUUCCUCCAGUUGCUUAAGUCCAGCGGUGAGGGGUCAUUCUGGAUUCUCCCUCUCCCACCUCAUUCCUGAUCCUAUUCCUCACUGGGCCUGGUCUAUGUUCUCCCCGGAACAGCUCUUCCGUGCCUCUCUUCCCCUCCACCCCUUUGAGCAGACCCUGCCUGGCUCCUGUGCUCACCAACCUCUUUUUUCCGCCACCAGCCCUGCUUCCCUUUGUCUGGAGGCCUCUCCAACCAUUGAAAACCACUUCACCCCCAGGCACCAAAUGAGCAAAGUAAAGAACACAGCUAAGGCGCCAGCCACAUACACCUGAGCUGGCAGAUUCAAAUCCAGCCUGGGCCUGCCAAACAACAAUGAUGGCUGCAACCAAAAAAUAGCUGGGUGUUGUGGUGGGUGUCUGUAGUCCCAGCUACUUGGGAGGCGGAGGCAGGAGAAUCGCUUGAGCCCAGGAGUUGGAAGUUGCUGUGAGCUGUGAUGCCACAGCACUUUACCAAGGGCAACAGCUUGAGGCUCUAUCUCUAAAAAAAAAAACAAAAAACGAAAACACACGGCUUGCCGAGAAGCAGCCCCCACCUUCGGCUGACGGGGAACUGGCUGCUACGCACUCCAACUCCUUUGCCACUCUGAGCUAUGUGUUCCAUGCCAGCUCCUCAGGUGAGCCCAUGGAGUGAUAACGUGACAUUUAUUGCCUUCCCUUCCUUCCCUGUCUCAGUUUCCACAGCCCUACUACUCCUGCCUGGAAUCACCUGCUUCUAGGAACCCAAAAGCCACCUGGUCUCCUCCCAAGGAUUAUCAUCUCUUGCCCAGUGGGUCUCUGAACUAUUCAUUUCUCCAACCCAUCUCCCACAGUGCAGCAAGGGUGAUACCUUCAAAAAUCCACUCGCCUUUAUGACUCCCCAGGGCUUUCUGUGGCUCGUAGGAUCGGGAUGAAACCCCUCCACAGGGCCAUGGAGCUCGUGUGUGCCCAUCUUACGUCAGGUCCCCUUGCAUCUGUGUGCCCGGUAGCUGUUAGGCAUGCUCAGGCCUUGGUGCAAAUGCCACCUUCUCAGCAAAGCCCUCGUGGAGUCCCAGCCCAGGUCCAGACCCCGGUCAUAUGCUCAGCCAGAGCCACAUGCUAUUGUUAUUUUAUCAUCAUUUAGCUUGGUGCCUGUGGCUCAAGUGGCUAAGGCGCCAGCCACAUACACCUGGGCUAGCAGGUUCGAAUCCAGCCUAGGCCUGCCAAACAACAAUGACAGCUGCAACAACAACAACAAAAUAAAUAACCAGGCAUUGUGGCAGGCACCUGUAGUCCCAGCUACUUGGGAGGUGGAAGCAGGAGACUCUCUUGUGCCCAGGAGUUGGAGAUUGCUGUGAGCUGUGAUGCCAGAGCACUCUAUUUUGUCAUCAUUUUACAUGACUUUGUGACAGUUUGAUUCACAACUCCCUCGGUAGGCAGAGUUGAGACUACAGAAGGGCUGCCCAUGUUCACUAUUUUCUCAUUUCUCUCUAGCAAAACCCGGUUGUGUUCAAGGUGGUCACAUGCACAGAUUAAAAACUCAAUGUCCAGCAUCUGUUGCAGCCGUGAGUGGCGGUGCAGUCCAGUCUGGCCAAUGAAGGAGAAGUAGAAGUCACUUGGAAAGUUUUAGGGAAGUUGGUUUCUCAGUGUAUUUCACCCUCCCGUCUAGUGACUUUCUUCUUCUUCCUGCUAGAAACACAGGUAUGUCCUCUCCUCCCUGGAGGUUCAACGGCCAUUGCCUGACCAUGAGGACAGCAGCCACACAUUCAGUUUUUAAAUUGACACAAAAUCUUGGGGCAGCGCCUGUGGCUCAAGGAGUAGGGCGCUGGCCCCAUAUACUGGAGGUAGUGGGUUUGAGCCCGGUAAAAAAACUGGUGCUGGCUGCUCGGUGCCCAGGUCUCCCGCACGCUCUCUGGAGAGUUCCUGUAGACUGGUCUUGCUCCUCCUGCAGAACUCGCAGCACAUCACACAGUGGAGGCUCAGUUUCAACCCAGUGCUGGGCGCAGGAGAGCAGCAGCAGUAGCUGAGGCGACAGGCGGAGACGCAUGGUGUCCGUGCGCUCCCCGUGGGCGCCCAACUGCCGCCGGCCUGUGCGCUCUGGGGAAUCCGGAGCUCAGCACCUGGCACAAGGUCUUGGACCCCUGCCGGCCACCGCCCUCCGAGAAGCCAUCGCUGGGCCACCAGACCCGGGGUGGGCUAGGACUGCUGCUCCUAGGAUGAGGUGGCUGAGCGCGCUAAACCACCCGGCCCAUUGAUAAGACCGCGGCCAGGAAGGAACACUUCUACACUGCUGGAGGGAUUGCAAACUAAUACAGCCUUUUUGGAGAGAAGUACAGGGAAGCCUCAAAGAUCUAAAAAUAGAUUUUCCAUUUGACCCUGCAAUCCCAUUACUAGGCAUCUACCCAGAAGAACAAAAAUCAUUUUACCACAAAGACAUUUGCACUAUAAUGUUUAUUGUGGCUCAAUUUAUAAUUGCCAAGUCGUGGAAGCAACCUAAGUGCCCCUCAACUCACCAAUGGAUCAACAAACUGUGGUACAUGUAUACCAUGGAAUAUUAUGCGGCCAUGAAAAAGAUGGAGACUUUACAUCUAUUACAUUUACCUGAAUGGAGUUGAAAUACAUUUUUCUUAGUAAAGUAUCUCAAGAAUGGAAAAAUAAAUCUCUAAUAGGUAUUCCAUACUAAUAUGAAAUCGAUAUAUAAACAAUUAUAUGUUCACAAGAACAAUAAAACACUAUUAUAGUCCAGUAGUUCGGGGGUAGAGGGAAGUGGGGGGGAGUGGGAGGACAUAUGGCAGAAGGAGGGAGAGCAUGAGGUGGGAUCUCACCUACUGUGCACAUUGUGAGGGUGGAUAACAUGCCCCCUGGGUGAGGGGCUCUUCUACAAAUGGAGCUUUACCUUGAAAGUGAGAACAAUGUUACCUAACUAUUGUACCCUCAUAUUAAUUUGAAUAAAGUUAAAAAAAACAAUUUUAACCAGUUCAUUUUGAGCCACGAUUCUGUGCUUAGAACAAAAAGAUUUUAAAAAAUCCAAAGAAAAUGUGGGAUAAGAGAAUAGGAAGGAGACAGGAGUAAAGAUUUCCAUCCCAGGUGGAAGGAGACUCAAGAGGAAA